CACUCCUGCGGGAGGCAGCAGUGGGGAAUUUUGGACAAUGGGCGAAAGCCUGAUCCAGCAAUGCCGCGUGCAGGAUGAAGGCCUUCGGGUUGUAAACUGCUUUUGUACGGAACGAAAAAGCUCCUUCUAAUACAGGGGGCCCAUGACGGUACCGUAAGAAUAAGCACCGGCUAACUACGUGCCAGCAGCCGCGGUAAUACGUAGGGUGCGAGCGUUAAUCGGAAUUACUGGGCGUAAAGCGUGCGCAGGCGGUUAUGUAAGACAGAUGUGAAAUCCCCGGGCUCAACCUGGGAACUGCAUUUGUGACUGCAUGGCUAGAGUACGGUAGAGGAGGAUGGAAUUCCGCGUGUAGCAGUGAAAUGCGUAGAUAUGCGGAGGAACACCGAUGGCGAAGGCAAUCCCCUGGACCUGUACUGACGCUCAUGCACGAAAGCGUGGGGAGCAAACAGGAUUAGAAACCCUAGUAGUCCCAU
RNAcentral lists this ribosomal RNA (473 nucleotides) under uncultured organism. RNAcentral describes it as "partial 16S ribosomal RNA". It matches the Rfam family "Bacterial small subunit ribosomal RNA", at positions 334 to 798 of the family's 1533-position model. The record is from RNAcentral.